CAAUAGCGUAUAUUAAAGUUGUUGCAGUUAAAAAGCUCGUAGUUGAAUUUCUGGCGGGCGCGCCGGUCUUCCAAGUGUUGUACUGGGCGCAGUCCGCCAUCCUUGUGGAGAGGGCUCGCAUUGAGUUGCGUGUCGGAUCUGCAUCAUUUACUGUGAAAAAAUUAGAGUGUUUAAAGCAGGCUGUCGCUUGAAUACAUUAGCAUGGAAUAAUAAGAUAGGACUUCGGUCUAUUUUGUUGGUUGCGAACCGAGGUAAUGAUUAAUAGGGAUAGUUGGGGGUAUUCAUAUUUAAUUGUCAGAGGUGAAAUUCUUGGAUUUAUGAAAGAUGAACAACUGCGAAAGCAUUUACCAAGGACGUUUUCAUUA
Molecule: ribosomal RNA, 365 nt
Filed under: uncultured eukaryote
Lineage: Eukaryota
Description: partial 18S ribosomal RNA
Rfam family: Eukaryotic small subunit ribosomal RNA
Source: RNAcentral